GCACCUACCGAUUGAAUGGUUCGGUGAAAAUCUCGGACUGCGGCUUGGAUGCCUUCGGGCAACCAAGCUUUGGAAAGUUGUUUAAACCUCAUCAUUUAGAGGAAGGUGAAGUCGUAACAAGGUUUCCGUAGGUGAACCUGCAGAAGGAUCAAGAUCGAAGGAGGGUCGGGUAGGGAAAGAUGGUAGAUCCGGUUGGUGGCGGAACCAUUAAAAAAAAAAAAAUAGAACUGUGUGAGUGCAUCAAUACAUGCUAAAAAGUAAGACUAACACCAAUGCG
RNAcentral lists this unclassified non-coding RNA (277 nucleotides) under sea anemone metagenome. RNAcentral describes it as "partial contains small subunit ribosomal RNA and internal transcribed spacer 1". The stretch from base 1 to 154 matches the Rfam family "Eukaryotic small subunit ribosomal RNA", at positions 1678 to 1831 of the family's 1831-position model. The record is from RNAcentral.